Molecule: ribosomal RNA, 532 nt
Filed under: uncultured Bacteroidota bacterium
Lineage: Bacteria; Pseudomonadati; Bacteroidota
Description: bacterial SSU rRNA
Rfam family: Bacterial small subunit ribosomal RNA
Source: RNAcentral
UCCUGAUCCAGCCAUGCCGCGUGCAGGAAGACUGCCCUAUGGGUUGUAAACUGCUUUUAUACAGGAAGAAAAAGGUGUACGUGUACACUGUUGACGGUACUGUAAGAAUAAGGAUCGGCUAACUCCGUGCCAGCAGCCGCGGUAAUACGGAGGAUCCAAGCGUUAUCCGGAAUCAUUGGGUUUAAAGGGUCCGUAGGCGGGAUGAUAAGUCAGUGGUGAAAGUCUGCAGCUCAACUGUAGAAUUGCCAUUGAUACUGUUGUUCUUGAGUUAUUGUGAAGUGGUUAGAAUGAGUAGUGUAGCGGUGAAAUGCAUAGAUAUUACUCAGAAUACCGAUUGCGAAGGCAGAUCACUAACAAUGAACUGACGCUGAUGGACGAAAGCGUAGGUAGCGAACAGGAUUAGAUACCCUGGUAGUCUACGCCGUAAACGAUGGUUACUAGCUGUUCGGGYWAAUUGAKACCUGAGUGGCUAAGCGAAAGUGAUAAGUAACCCACCUGGGGAGUACGUUCGCAAGAAUGAAACUCAAAUGAA